AUGCUCACUUCUGCAGCAUAUAUAUUAAAACUGGAAUGAUAAAGAGAAGAUUAGCAUGGCCCCUGCCCAAGGAUGACAUGCAAAUUCAUGAAAUGUUUCAUAUUUUU
Kogia breviceps (pygmy sperm whale) is the source of this 107-nucleotide small nuclear RNA. Lineage: Eukaryota; Metazoa; Chordata; Mammalia; Artiodactyla; Physeteridae. The record is from RefSeq and is a predicted model, not a curated record.